RNAcentral lists this ribosomal RNA (484 nucleotides) under uncultured bacterium. RNAcentral describes it as "partial 16S ribosomal RNA". It matches the Rfam family "Bacterial small subunit ribosomal RNA", at positions 30 to 507 of the family's 1533-position model. The record is from RNAcentral.
AUUGAACGCUGGCGGCAGGCCUAACACAUGCAAGUCGAGCGGAUGAAGGGAGCUUGCUCCUGGAUUCAGCGGCGGACGGGUGAGUAAUGCCUAGGAAUCUGCCUGGUAGUGGGGGAUAACGUCCGGAAACGGGCGCUAAUACCGCAUACGUCCUGAGGGAGAAAGUGGGGGAUCUUCGGACCUCACGCUAUCAGAUGAGCCUAGGUCGGAUUAGCUAGUUGGUGGGGUAAAGGCCUACCAAGGCGACGAUCCGUAACUGGUCUGAGAGGAUGAUCAGUCACACUGGAACUGGGACACGGUCCAGGCUCCUACGGGAGGCAGCAGUGGGGAAUAUUGGACAGUGGGCGGAAGCCUGGUCCAGCCAGGCCGCGUGUGUGAAGAAGGUCUUCGGAUUGUAAAGCACUUUAAGUUGGGAGGAAGGGCAGUAAGUUAAUACCUUGCUGUUUUGACGUUACCAACAGAAUAAGCACCGGCUAACUUCGUG